Molecule: ribosomal RNA, 48 nt
Filed under: Bipolaris zeicola
Lineage: Eukaryota; Fungi; Ascomycota; Dothideomycetes; Pleosporales; Pleosporaceae
Also listed under: 32 other names
Description: partial 28S ribosomal RNA
Source: RNAcentral
UUGACCUCGGAUCAGGUAGGGAUACCCGCUGAACUUAAGCAUAUCAUA